CCUACGGGAGGCAGCAGUGAGGAAUAUUGGUCAAUGGGCGGACGCCUGAACCAGCCAAGUAGCGUGCAGGAUGACGGCCCUACGGGUUGUCAACUGCUUUUAUACGGGACUAACGCGCCUUACGUGUAGGGCUUUGCAUGUACCUUAUGAAUAAGGACCGGCUAAUUCCGUGCCAGCAGCCGCGGUAAUACGUAAGGUCCGGGCGUUAUCCGGAUUUAUUGGUGUUAAAGGGAUCGUAGGCCGCAUGUCAAGCGUGCUGUGACAUGUUCGGGCUCAACCCGGGCCGUGCAGCGCGAACUGGCGUGCUUGAGUCCGCGGAAAGCAGGCGGAAUUCGUGGUGUAGCGGUGAAAUGCUUAGAUAUGACGAAGAACCCCGAUUGCGAAGGCAGCUUGCUGCAGCGGAACUGACGCUGAUGCUCGAAAGCGCGGGUAUCGAACAGGAUUAGAUACCCCAGUAGUC
Molecule: ribosomal RNA, 460 nt
Filed under: uncultured bacterium
Lineage: Bacteria
Description: partial 16S ribosomal RNA
Rfam family: Bacterial small subunit ribosomal RNA
Source: RNAcentral